This 345-nucleotide unclassified non-coding RNA is filed under the name soil metagenome. Its description in RNAcentral is "partial contains 5.8S ribosomal RNA, internal transcribed spacer 2, and large subunit ribosomal RNA". The stretch from base 1 to 120 matches the Rfam family "5.8S ribosomal RNA", at positions 35 to 154 of the family's 154-position model. The record is from RNAcentral.
GAUGAAGAACGCAGCGAAAUGCGAUAAGUAAUGUGAAUUGCAGAAUUCCGUGAAUCAUCGAAUCUUUGAACGCACAUUGCGCCCUCUGGUAUUCCGGGGGGCAUGCCUGUCCGAGCGUCAUUUGCAACCCUCAAGCCCGGCUUGUGUGAUGGGUGCCGUCCCCUACGGGACGCGCCCCGAAGGCAAUGGCGGCGUCGCGGUUAUCCGAUCAGCCAAAGUGUAUGGGGCAUUGUCACUCACUUUACGGCCCGGACCGGCGCCAGUCCGAAUCAAUCUUUUUUCUAAAGUUGACCUCGGAUCAGGUAGGGAUACCCGCUGAACUUAAGCAUAUCAAUAAGCGGAGGA